AACGUAGGAUCCGAGCGUUGUCCGGAAUCACUGGGUGUAAAGGGUGCGUAGGCGGGCUUGCGCGUCAAGGGUUAAAGACCUCGGCUCAACCGAGGGAAUGCCCUUGAUACGGCAGGCCUUGAGUGCGGGAGGGGAUGGUGGAAUUCCUGGUGUAGCGGAGAAAUGCGUAGAGAUCGGGAGGAACACCGAAGGCGAAGGCAGCCUUCUGGACCGCCACUGACGCUGAGGCACGAAAGCGUGGGGAGCAAACAGG
RNAcentral lists this ribosomal RNA (253 nucleotides) under uncultured bacterium. RNAcentral describes it as "partial 16S ribosomal RNA". It matches the Rfam family "Bacterial small subunit ribosomal RNA", at positions 524 to 776 of the family's 1533-position model. The record is from RNAcentral.